RNAcentral lists this transfer RNA (96 nucleotides) under Bacillota bacterium. RNAcentral's name for it is "tRNA-Sec". It matches the Rfam family "Selenocysteine transfer RNA". Lineage: Bacteria; Bacillati; Bacillota. The record is from RNAcentral.
GGGGGUAGGUGGAGGCUUGGUGCCUUCCUCGGACUUCAAAUCCGAUGGUCGGCGUGUGACGUCGACGGUGGGUUCGAUUCCCACAUACUCCCGCCA